CCUACGGGAGGCAGCAGUGGGGAAUAUUGCACAAUGGGCGAAAGCCUGAUGCAGCGACGCCGCGUGAGGGAUGACGGCCUUCGGGUUGUAAACCUCUUUCAGUAGGGAAGAAGCGAAAGUGACGGUACCUGCAGAAGAAGCGCCGGCUAACUACGUGCCAGCAGCCGCGGUAAUACGUAGGGCGCAAGCGUUAUCCGGAAUUAUUGGGCGUAAAGAGCUCGUAGGCGGUUUGUCGCGUCUGCCGUGAAAGUCCGGGGCUCAACUCCGGAUCUGCGGUGGGUACGGGCAGACUAGAGUGAUGUAGGGGAGACUGGAAUUCCUGGUGUAGCGGUGAAAUGCGCAGAUAUCAGGAGGAACACCGAUGGCGAAGGCAGGUCUCUGGGCAUUAACUGACGCUGAGGAGCGAAAGCAUGGGGAGCGAACAGGAUUAGAUACCCUGGUAGUCCAUGCCGUAAACGUUGGGCACUAGGUGUGGGGGACAUUCCACGUUUUCCGCGCCGUAGCUAACGCAUUAAGUGCCCCGCCUGGGGAGUACGGCCGCAAGGCUAAAACUCAAAAUGAAAUUGACGG
RNAcentral lists this ribosomal RNA (570 nucleotides) under uncultured bacterium. Its description in RNAcentral is "bacterial SSU rRNA". It matches the Rfam family "Bacterial small subunit ribosomal RNA", at positions 338 to 916 of the family's 1533-position model. The record is from RNAcentral.